UUGGCUUGUUGUCCCAGGGAGGGAAGUGUUUAGAUAAACAGACAGAGUGCUGACCUAGGAGGGGAGAAUCCCCCCCACUCUUUCUCUCUCUGUUUCUCUGUGUCUCUGUCUCCCCACAGCCCUAUCUCUCUUUCUCAGACCUGUGCCCUCAGUAGGGAGAUGAUGCCUGGGGCUGCUACCCUGGACUCUCCCCCAGGCCCUAGGCUCCUCUGUGGUAUUGUCCUGUGUCUCCUGGGAGCAGGUGUGGUGCAUGCUGGGGUCCUCCAGUCCCCCAGACACCUGAUCAAAGCCAAGGGAGGAAAGGCCACUCUGCAGUGCUUUCCUGACUCUGGACAUAAUACUGUGUACUGGUACCAGCAGGCCGAGGACCAGAGCCUCCAGUUCCUCAUUUCUUAUUUUGGAGAAUCAGAGAGAGAUAAAGGAAGCAUCCCUGGGCGCUUCUCAGCUCGGCAGUUCAGUGACUAUCACUCUGAGCUGAACAUGAGCGCCUUGCAGCUGAAGGACUCCGCGCUGUAUCUGUGUGCCAGCAGCUUGCACAGCCCUAAAGCAUGGCAGGGAGACAUGAGUGAUCCAAGGUCCAUGGCUGGACUGAAACCAGAGAGAAUUCAUCUCAUGAGGACACCUGGAGACCUGAGCCCAGAGCGCUGCUGUCACCCGAAUCAUUGUGAAACUAGAUCCUGCACCCUGACCUUCACACGCUAA
Dipodomys spectabilis (banner-tailed kangaroo rat) is the source of this 702-nucleotide non-coding RNA. The record is from the annotation of a RefSeq genome assembly. NCBI's taxonomy places the organism in Eukaryota, Metazoa, Chordata, Mammalia, Rodentia, Heteromyidae.